This 1165-nucleotide ribosomal RNA is filed under the name uncultured fungus. RNAcentral's name for it is "eukaryotic LSU rRNA". The stretch from base 537 to 1165 matches the Rfam family "Eukaryotic large subunit ribosomal RNA", at positions 1 to 649 of the family's 3401-position model. Lineage: Eukaryota; Fungi. The record is from RNAcentral.
AAGUCGUAACAAGGUCUCCGUAGGUGAACCUGCGGAGGGAUCAUUAAAAGUGCCAAACCCACGCCGCGGCCCCGAGCAAUCGGGGCUUGCCGCUGGGGUAAAAACACAACCCACUGUCGUCCGACCGCGUUGCCUCGGGAGAGACCGCCGCCGCAAGGCGUGACGGUCCCCCGGUGGACCAAACCAAACUCUUGCGUAACAUUGCAGUCUGAGUGAUUUAUUAAAUGAAUCAAAACUUUCAACAACGGAUCUCUUGGUUCUGGCAUCGAUGAAGAACGCAGCGAAAUGCGAUAAGUAAUGUGAAUUGCAGAAUUCAGUGAAUCAUCGAAUCUUUGAACGCACAUUGCGCCCCGUGGUAUUCCGCGGGGCAUGCCUGUUCGAGCGUCAUUACACCACUCAAGCCUCGCUUGGUAUUGGGCGACGCGGUACGCCGCGCGCCUCUAAACGACCGGCUGGGUCGACCGUCCCUCAGCGUUGUGGAAACUAUUCGCUACGGGUCGCGGUCGGGCACGCCGUUAAACAACCAACUCAAAGGUUGACCUCGGAUCAGGUAGGGAUACCCGCUGAACUUAAGCAUAUCAAUAAGCGGAGGAAAAGAAACCAACAGGGAUUGCCCUAGUAACGGCGAGUGAAGCGGCAAAAGCUCAAAUUUGAAAUCUGGCGCCUUCGGCGUCCGAGUUGUAAUUUGUAGAGGAUGUUUCUGGGCAGCCACCGGUCUAAGUUCCUUGGAACAGGACGUCAUAGAGGGUGAGAAUCCCGUAUGCGACCGGAAGGGCACCCUACACGUAACUCCUUCGACGAGUCGAGUUGUUUGGGAAUGCAGCUCUAAAUGGGAGGUAAAUUUCUUCUAAAGCUAAAUACCGGCCAGAGACCGAUAGCGCACAAGUAGAGUGAUCGAAAGAUGAAAAGCACUUUGGAAAGAGAGUUAAAAAGCACGUGAAAUUGUUGAAAGGGAAGCGCUUGCAACCAGACUUGCUCGCGGUGUUCCGCCGGUCUUCUGACCGGUUCAUUCGCCGCGUUGCAGGCCAGCAUCGUCUGGGGCCGCCGGAUAAGACUUUGGGAAUGUAGCUCCCCUCGGGGAGUGUUAUAGCUCAUCGUGAUGCGGCGCGUCCCGGGCGAGGUCCGCGCUUCGGCUAGGAUGCUGGCGUAAUGGUUGUAAGCGGCC